RNAcentral lists this unclassified non-coding RNA (250 nucleotides) under plant metagenome. Its description in RNAcentral is "partial contains small subunit ribosomal RNA, internal transcribed spacer 1, and 5.8S ribosomal RNA". The record is from RNAcentral.
GUAGGUGAACCUGCGGAAGGAUCAUUAAUGAAGUUGAAAUGGGUUGUCGCUGCGUCACAAACGACGCGUGCACGCCCUGUUCAAAUCCACUCACACUGUGCACAACCUGUAGUUCCAGGGCGAUGAAGGGAGGGUGUUUUUCCCCUCCCCGACUCGGUUCUAUGUUUUUUUUUCACACGCACGCCGUCCAAAGAGUAUUGUGGAAUGUGACCCUAGCGUAUAACGCAAAGCAAUACAACUUUCAGCAACG